Molecule: non-coding RNA, 81 nt
Organism: Glossina morsitans morsitans
Lineage: Eukaryota; Metazoa; Arthropoda; Insecta; Diptera; Glossinidae
Source: Rfam
UGGUUUUAGCACGUAGGCGCCGUGGAUGGCGAAUCGUGCAUGCUGCUGGCACGAAUCAGCAGUAUCUUUAGAAGAUUUCUA